Molecule: ribosomal RNA, 203 nt
Filed under: uncultured eubacterium 4-44
Lineage: Bacteria; Pseudomonadati; Pseudomonadota; Betaproteobacteria
Description: partial 16S ribosomal RNA
Rfam family: Bacterial small subunit ribosomal RNA
Source: RNAcentral
AGUGGCGAACGGGUGAGUAAUAUAUCGGAACGUGUCCAAUAAUGGGGGAUAACGAGUCGAAAGAUUCGCUAAUACCGCAUACGCCCUACGGGGGAAAGCAGGGGAUCGUAAGACCUUGCGUUAAUGGAGCGGCCGAUAUCUGAUUAGCUUGUUGGUGAGGUAAAGGCUCACCAAGGCGACGAUCAGUAGCUGGUCUGAGAGGA